This 211-nucleotide ribosomal RNA is filed under the name uncultured bacterium. Its description in RNAcentral is "partial 16S ribosomal RNA". It matches the Rfam family "Bacterial small subunit ribosomal RNA", at positions 1290 to 1500 of the family's 1533-position model. The record is from RNAcentral.
AGUUCGGAUUGUAGUCUGCAACCCGACUACAUGAAGCUGGAAUCGCUAGUAAUCGCGGAUCAGAAUGCCGCGGUGAAUACGUUCCCGGGUCUUGUACACACCGCCCGUCACACCAUGGGAGUCGGAAAUGCCCGAAGUCUGUGACCUAACCGUAAGGAAGGAGCAGCCGAAGGCAGGUCGGAUGACUGGGGUGAAGUCGUAACAAGGUAGC